CCAACCCUGAUGACACCUUGAUCUUGGACUUCACAGCCUCCAGAACUAACAUACUCAAGUGUCUCAGCUCAACAUUUGGAGAUGAGCCAUCCUCCUCUUAUUGUAAGAAAAGCUUGAAGGAGUAUUUUCACAGCGAUGGAACUGGAAGUUAAGGCAACUUCUAUCAGCAUCAAGAAAAGAAAAGAAGUAUUCACCACUUACGAAACAACAUCUCUCUUCUCAUCAAUAGUUUGAUUUACAGCAUCUACUGCAGAAGACCUCAAUAAUGCAUAAGAACAUCUGGAAGUACGGUAAUUUCAGCUAUCAGAGAUAAGAAUUGACACAGAACAGGAAUAGAUGCUGUGUAAGUCUCAUUAAAUUACCUGACUGAUGGAAUAAAUACACAGCCUAUAGCUCGGCAGUCCAUAGUAAACUGAACAAGGGUCUUGAUAUCUCAGAGUUCUGCUUAUUUACACAUGCCUUGGACUCUUCUCACAGAUAUGUAAAUUAUUCUGGUUAAAACUAAAUGCUAAAGUCUACACCAUUAGUCUUCCACUUCAUGAUCUCCACAUGGGGCUGUUAGAGGGAUAAUGUACCAUACAAUACACGGUUUACUUUUAAUUAAUAGAAAAAAAUGUGAAAUGAAUAUUAAAUGUAGCUUAAUGUGAAAGAAAGCUCAAAGCAGUUUGGUUGUUAUUUAUUUAUUUUAAAAAUAUUCAGUCCCGCUUCAUGAUUAGAAAAUAAGGAAUGCAUUACCGGACUGGAAGCCUUGCUGGAGACUUGGAAGAAAAAAAGAGCUUGGAGAGGCUUUAACAAACCAGCUAAUGGUACUGGGCCUGACACAAAGAAGGGAUGCUUUAGGGAGCGGUCCAAGGAGCUCUGCUCUGUGCCUAUUGAAUCCCAGCAGAGCUUUUCUCUAUAUUCCCUGCUGAGAUUGUCCCCUGCUCUAUACCAUACGAAUUGAAGGA
This 947-nucleotide long non-coding RNA is filed under the name Homo sapiens (human). RNAcentral's name for it is "HSALNT0306695". The record is from RNAcentral. Lineage: Eukaryota; Metazoa; Chordata; Mammalia; Primates; Hominidae.